Molecule: ribosomal RNA, 164 nt
Filed under: uncultured bacterium
Lineage: Bacteria
Description: partial 16S rRNA
Rfam family: Bacterial small subunit ribosomal RNA
Source: RNAcentral
UAGGGAAUCUUCCACAAUGGGCGAAAGCCUGAUGGAGCAACGCCGCGUGUGUGAUGAAGGGUUUCGGCUCGUAAAACACUGUUGUAAGAGAAGAAUGACAUUGAGAGUAACUGUUCAAUGUGUGACGGUAUCUUACCAGAAAGGAACGGCUAAAAUACGUGCAG